CCUACGGGAGGCAGCAGUGGGGAAUAUUGGGCAAUGGGCGCAAGCCUGACCCAGCAACGCCGCGUGAAGGAAGAAGGCUCUCGGGUUGUAAACUUCUUUUAUCAGGGACGAAGCAAGUGACGGUACCUGAUGAAUAAGCCACGGCUAACUACGUGCCAGCAGCCGCGGUAAUACGUAGGUGGCAAGCGUUAUCCGGCUUUACUUGGUGUAAAGGGCGUGUAGGCGGGAAAGCAAGUCAGAUGUGAAAACCAUGGGCUCAACCUGUGGCCUGCAUUUGAAACUGUUUUUCUUGAGUACUGGAGAGGCAGCCGGAAUUCCUAGUGUAGCGGUGAAAUGCGUAGAUAUUAGGAGGCACACCAGUGGCGAAGGCGGUCUGCUGGACAGCACCUGACGCUGAGGCGCGAAAGCGUGGGGAGCAAACAGGAUUAGAUACCCUGGUAGUC
RNAcentral lists this ribosomal RNA (443 nucleotides) under uncultured bacterium. RNAcentral describes it as "partial 16S ribosomal RNA". It matches the Rfam family "Bacterial small subunit ribosomal RNA", at positions 338 to 795 of the family's 1533-position model. The record is from RNAcentral.